Long non-coding RNA from Phyllostomus discolor (pale spear-nosed bat), 941 nucleotides. RefSeq lists it as uncharacterized. The transcript is spliced from 3 exons. The record is from RefSeq and is a predicted model, not a curated record. Lineage: Eukaryota; Metazoa; Chordata; Mammalia; Chiroptera; Phyllostomidae.
AUACUUGCACCAGGAAUCAUAUGGGCUGACAUGUUGAUCAUGGACUCCCUAGCCUCCAAAAUCGUGAGAAAUAAAUUUCUGUGGUUUAGGCCAUCCAGGGUAUACUACUUUUUAUGGCAGCUAUUAGAAUUCUAGUGCCAAUUCCAAUGUGUACGUGCAGGGUGAGGGUGGGGGCAGGUUUCUCACACCACCAACACCAGCCAUUGUCCCAUAAUUCAAAUCAACUCUGAGACAAUGUCCCUGGAGACAGUGUCGAUUCCACAGGUUAAGAGCUCAGUCCUAUAUGACGGCCCCACUCCCUUCAAACACCAAUCAUAAUUCUACUUACCACUUGUACCUCUGACUGACCAGUUAUAGAUCAGAGGUAUCAACAACCUCCUCCUUGGGCUCAAUUAAUUUGUGAGACCAGCUCCCAGAACUCAGAGAGCCUGUUUGCUUACUAGGUUACUGUUUUAUUAUAAAAGAAUAUAACUCAGGAACAGCCAGGUGGAAGAGAUGCACAGGGCUAGGCAUGGAGAAAGGACACGGAGCUCCACACCCUCUCUGAGCCCACUGCUUUCCCCAAAUUGCUACAUGUUCAUCAACUUGCAAGCUCUCUGAUCCCUGUCAUUUUCAGUUUUGAUGAAGGUUUUGUUAUAGAGGCCUAAUUGGUUAGAUCUUUGGCCAUUGGUGAUUGAUUCCAUCUCCAGCCCCUUCCUGUCCCCAGAGGCCAGAGGUGCAUCUGAAAGUUCCAACUCUCUAAUCACAUAGUUGGCUCUCCUGGCAACCAGACCCCUUCCUCAGGUGGGAUCCAAAAGUCACCUCAUUAAUAUAACAAAAUACACCUUUAUCAGUCCCAUCACUUUGACAAUUCAAAGGGUCUUAGGAGCUCUGUGCCAGAAAAGAGGACAAUGACCAAAUAUACAUUUGUUAUUAUAAAUCACAAGAACACAGCAGGGCUU